RNAcentral lists this ribosomal RNA (1005 nucleotides) under Microbacterium paraoxydans. RNAcentral's name for it is "bacterial SSU rRNA". It matches the Rfam family "Bacterial small subunit ribosomal RNA", at positions 55 to 1072 of the family's 1533-position model. Lineage: Bacteria; Bacillati; Actinomycetota; Actinomycetes; Micrococcales; Microbacteriaceae. The record is from RNAcentral.
AUGCAGUCGAACGGUGAAGCAGAGCUUGCUCUGUGGAUCAGUGGCGAACGGGUGAGUAACACGUGAGCAACCUGCCCCUGACUCUGGGAUAAGCGCUGGAAACGGCGUCUAAUACUGGAUAUGAGCUGCGAUCGCAUGGUCAGCAGUUGGAAAGAUUUUUCGGUCUGGGAUGGGCUCACGGCCUAUCAGCUUGUUGGUGAGGUAAUGGCUCACCAAGGCGUCGACGGGUAGCCGGCCUGAGAGGGUGACCGGCCACACUGGGACUGAGACACGGCCCAGACUCCUACGGGAGGCAGCAGUGGGGAAUAUUGCACAAUGGGCGAAAGCCUGAUGCAGCAACGCCGCGUGAGGGAUGACGGCCUUCGGGUUGUAAACCUCUUUUAGCAGGGAAGAAGCGAAAGUGACGGUACCUGCAGAAAAAGCGCCGGCUAACUACGUGCCAGCAGCCGCGGUAAUACGUAGGGCGCAAGCGUUAUCCGGAAUUAUUGGGCGUAAAGAGCUCGUAGGCGGUUUGUCGCGUCUGCUGUGAAAUCCCGAGGCUCAACCUCGGGUCUGCAGUGGGUACGGGCAGACUAGAGUGCGGUAGGGGAGAUUGGAAUUCCUGGUGUAGCGGUGGAAUGCGCAGAUAUCAGGAGGAACACCGAUGGCGAAGGCAGAUCUCUGGGCCGUUACUGACGCUGAGGAGCGAAAGGGUGGGGAGCAAACAGGCUUAGAUACCCUGGUAGUCCACCCCGUAAACGUUGGGAACUAGUUGUGGGGUCCAUUCCACGGAUUCCGUGACGCAGCUAACGCAUUAAGUUCCCCGCCUGGGGAGUACGGCCGCAAGGCUAAAACUCAAAGGAAUUGACGGGGACCCGCACAAGCGGCGGAGCAUGCGGAUUAAUUCGAUGCAACGCGAAGAACCUUACCAAGGCUUGACAUAUACGAGAACGGGCCAGAAAUGGUCAACUCUUUGGACACUCGUAAACAGGUGGUGCAUGGUUGUCGUCAGCUCGUGUCGUGAGA